CUCAACGAUGAUGCAUGCAUGUCAACUAUGUGUGUUGGCUCCAACAAUUCGCAUUGGUCUCAAACCAAUGACAUGCAUUUCGAAGACAAUGAGUUCGAGGUGGACGGGGAUGGUGAGGGCAAUGUCGACGCACCGAAAGGAAGAGCGGGCAAUUACACCAACGCUGAAGACAUCUUAUUGUGCAAUACUUGGUUGCAAGUGUCGAGGGAUCCAUCCGUUGGAGGUGAUCAAAGUAGAGAUGCUUAUUGGAACCGGAUGAAGGAACACUUUGAUGUUCGCAACAUGAGUGGAAUUGACCGCUCCGAGCGAUCUCUUCGGUCCCGGUGGUCGACAAUCAACAAAGAUUGUCAAAAGUGGGCGGCGACGGUUGACAAGUUGAACCCAAGUGGCACCAAUGAGGACAAUAGAGUAAGUGCCAUUUCAUCCAUGUUCAUCAUACUUGUUGUUGGUGUUUGA
Molecule: ribosomal RNA, 456 nt
Filed under: Triticum aestivum (bread wheat)
Lineage: Eukaryota; Viridiplantae; Streptophyta; Magnoliopsida; Poales; Poaceae
Description: partial small subunit ribosomal RNA
Source: RNAcentral